This 170-nucleotide ribosomal RNA is filed under the name Lysobacter enzymogenes. Its description in RNAcentral is "partial 16S ribosomal RNA". It matches the Rfam family "Bacterial small subunit ribosomal RNA", at positions 578 to 747 of the family's 1533-position model. The record is from RNAcentral. Lineage: Bacteria; Pseudomonadati; Pseudomonadota; Gammaproteobacteria; Lysobacterales; Lysobacteraceae.
GUUUGUUAAGUCUGAUGUGAAAGCCCUGGGCUCAACCUGGGAAUGGCAUUGGAAACUGGCUUACUAGAGUGCGGUAGAGGGUAGCGGAAUUCCCGGUGUAGCAGUGAAAUGCGUAGAUAUCGGGAGGAACAUCCGUGGCGAAGGCGGCUACCUGGACCAGCACUGACACU